UUGAAGAGUUUGAUCAUGGCUCAGAUUGAACGCUGGCGGCAGGCCUAACACAUGCAAGUCGAGCGGUAGCACAGAGAGCUUGCUCUCGGGUGACGAGCGGCGGACGGGUGAGUAAUGUCUGGGAAACUGCCUGAUGGAGGGGGAUAACUACUGGAAACGGUAGCUAAUACCGCAUAACGUCGCAAGACCAAAGUGGGGGACCUUCGGGCCUCAUGCCAUCAGAUGUGCCCAGAUGGGAUUAGCUAGUAGGUGGGGUAACGGCUCACCUAGGCGACGAUCCCUAGCUGGUCUGAGAGGAUGACCAGCCACACUGGAACUGAGACACGGUCCAGACUCCUACGGGAGGCAGCAGUGGGGAAUAUUGCACAAUGGGCGCAAGCCUGAUGCAGCCAUGCCGCGUGUGUGAAGAAGGCCUUCGGGUUGUAAAGCACUUUCAGCGGGGAGGAAGGCGGUGAGGUUAAUAACCUCAUCGAUUGACGUUACCCGCAGAAGAAGCACCGGCUAACUCCGUGCCAGCAGCCGCGGUAAUACGGAGGGUGCAAGCGUUAAUCGGAAUUACUGGGCGUAAAGCGCACGCAGGCGGUCUGUCAAGUCGGAUGUGAAAUCCCCGGGCUUAACCUGGGAACUGCAUUCGAAACUGGCAGGCUAGAGUCUUGUAGAGGGGGGUAGAAUUCCAGGUGUAGCGGUGAAAUGCGUAGAGAUCUGGAGGAAUACCGGUGGCGAAGGCGGCCCCCUGGACAAAGACUGACGCUCAGGUGCGAAAGCGUGGGGAGCAAACAGGAUUAGAUACCCUGGUAGUCCACGCCGUAAACGAUGUCGAUUUGGAGGUUGUGCCCUUGAGGCGUGGCUUCCGGAGCUAACGCGUUAAAUCGACCGCCUGGGGAGUACGGCCGCAAGGUUAAAACUCAAAUGAAUUGACGGGGGCCCGCACAAGCGGUGGAGCAUGUGGUUUAAUUCGAUGCAACGCGAAGAACCACGGUCUUGACAUCCACAGAACUUUCCAGAGAUGGAUUGGUGCCUUCGGGAACUGUGAGACAGGUGCUGCAUGGCUGUCGUCAGCUCGUGUUGUGAAAUGUUGGGUUAAGUCCCGCAACGAGCGCAACCCUUAUCCUUUGUUGCCAGCGGUCCGGCCGGGAACUCAAAGGAGACUGCCAGUGAUAAACUGGAGGAAGGUGGGGAUGACGUCAAGUCAUCAUGGCCCUUACGACCAGGGCUACACACGUGCUACAAUGGCAUAUACAAAGAGAAGCGACCUCGCGAGAGCAAGCGGACCUCAUAAAGUAUGUCGUAGUCCGGAUUGGAGUCUGCAACUCGACUCCAUGAAGUCGGAAUCGCUAGUAAUCGUAGAUCAGAAUGCUACGGUGAAUACGUUCCCGGGCCUUGUACACACCGCCCGUCACACCAUGGGAGUGGGUUGCAAAAGAAGUAGGUAGCUUAACCUUCGGGAGGGCGCUUACCACUUUGUGAUUCAUGACUGGGGUGAAGUCGUAACAAGGUAACCGUAGGGGAACCUGCGGUUGGAUCACCUCCUU
This 1532-nucleotide ribosomal RNA is filed under the name Klebsiella pneumoniae. RNAcentral describes it as "bacterial SSU rRNA". It matches the Rfam family "Bacterial small subunit ribosomal RNA". The record is from RNAcentral. Lineage: Bacteria; Pseudomonadati; Pseudomonadota; Gammaproteobacteria; Enterobacterales; Enterobacteriaceae.